UUUGCUUUCAGCAAAGGGGGACAAAGUCAUGGGGUGAAAGGGAAGGAAGGCCCAGUACAGCUUCCAAGACCCUCACCGGCCUCCUCACCAGCUCCAGCUCCCCCUCCCCCCAGCUCCUGUAAGAAGUUGGGCCCAGCUGGAAGGGAUUGAAGGGGUUCUCUGUCUGGAGAUGGAGCCACUAUGGGCAGGGCCCCCGGGCGCCUGGAGUCGGGCAUGAAAGGAAAUAGCGCCUCAUCGCUCUUAUCUAAGCCCAGAGCCGCCUCCUCGCCCUGGCUGGCCUCUGCGGAGAUUCCAGGCCCUACCGAGACCCUCAGCGCCCCUCGUGCCAACGCUGCCGCCGCCGGGAAAUCGCCGAUACCCACACACACAGGGCAAGAGAACCGCGUGG
This is a long non-coding RNA of Jaculus jaculus (lesser Egyptian jerboa), 388 nucleotides long. RefSeq lists it as uncharacterized. Lineage: Eukaryota; Metazoa; Chordata; Mammalia; Rodentia; Dipodidae. The transcript has 3 exons. The record is from RefSeq and is a predicted model, not a curated record.